Molecule: long non-coding RNA, 558 nt
Filed under: Cicer arietinum (chickpea)
Lineage: Eukaryota; Viridiplantae; Streptophyta; Magnoliopsida; Fabales; Fabaceae
Description: long non-coding RNA (CARI_LNC001257)
Source: RNAcentral
AACAAAAAAAAGUAUCGACAUAGCACAAGCAUUUGUUUCUCCUCUAGAGGUUUUAACUCUCUGAGUUAUAUCAAAAGAUGUAAACUCCAGUUUCCAUUUGCAAUUUUAACCUUUUCACAACGUUUUCUUACAUUUUUCUUAACUUUUUCAGUUUCACAGAACAAAACAGAGGUACUAGUUGUUCCUAAAAGAUUUUCGACGUGGCAACAAUGUAGAAGGGGAUGCCAAAAAGUAAUGUGGACAUUCUUGUUCCCCAGAAUUGUCUUUUUCCUCGUGAGAUGGUGAAGGUUUGGAAAGGACAAGUAAAAGCUGCUAGCUACACUUGCGUUUCAUAUCUUCCCAAGACACAUGAUCAUUAUGACUUUUGAGGUUUUUUUUUUUUAUUCACACUAUUUAUAUAUAUGGCUUUGUUACUUGUUAAUGUCGACAACUUAAAAAAAAAUUACUUUUAAUUAUUUUUCAUUUAUUUAGUGUAUUUUUUAAUAAGAGGCAAUACUACACUAUUAUGAGGGAGUUUAGAAAUUUUGAGUAGUGAAAUAUGUACCAUAAAUUGCAUCA